GAUGCAAACUUUGCUGAAACCUCGACAAUGGAAACGCUGCUGCUUUCCCAAAGCCUCCACACUCCAGAUCCUAAGGACGUGACAUAUGCAGGUCGAUCCAGGGUCCCCGUGGUCGUCGCUGUCAUCACCUUAUUAUCAGUUGUGGCUCUCGCUGGUUUUGCUGCAUUUUUCUCUCGCCACAUUUUUCAGAAGCUAAAAAAGCAUCCAGAGGAUGAGACACAAAAACAACCACUACAAGUCUAGCUGCUUUACUCAAAGUAAUAAUGGUCUUAAUGGAGCUGAGAGUGUUAGAGAUUUAUCUUUGCUGGAUCUUCGC
This is a non-coding RNA of Maylandia zebra (zebra mbuna), 316 nucleotides long. Lineage: Eukaryota; Metazoa; Chordata; Actinopteri; Cichliformes; Cichlidae. The record is from RefSeq and is a predicted model, not a curated record.